Long non-coding RNA from Salvelinus namaycush (lake trout), 1998 nucleotides. RefSeq lists it as uncharacterized. The transcript is spliced from 4 exons. Lineage: Eukaryota; Metazoa; Chordata; Actinopteri; Salmoniformes; Salmonidae. The record is from RefSeq and is a predicted model, not a curated record.
CGGAGCUCAUCCAGUUUAUUCUCCAGUGACUGCACGUUGGCUAAUAGAACGGAUGGUGGAAGUGGAUUACCUACUCGCCGACGAAUUCUCACAAGGCACCCGGAUCUCCGCCCCCUGUAUUUAGUUAUUUUCUUCAUGUGAAUGACAGGGAUUUGGGCCUUGUCUGGGAGCAACAUUACCUAUAUCCUUUGCGUUGGACUCAUUAAAGAAAAGAUCUUCAUCCAGUUCGAGAUUGGUGGACCGGAAACCCAGUGGCAACAAUCAGGUCUGUAUCUGUCAUUUUCCGGUGGGAAAGAGAAAUGGCCCUGUAUUUACCAGAAAAGGUAGCUCAUCCUCCAUGGCAGAAGAGAAAGAUCCAGACUGUUGAUUGGGAAAAAAUAACAAACAAUGAGGCAUGAGGAUUGGGUGUUGAGGGACCACUUGUCACAUUGUCCAAGUCCAAAAGGAGUGCAUCCCUUGUGCCAUCUGGUGCACGGACAUCCUUUGCCAGUGUGAUCCGAGUGCAAGUGUCAAGUUGUAGAGACUACAACAGAUCGAGCCUGUGGACGGACAGUUGCUGAAAAGCAGAGUCUGUCAGAGGUUGUCACGCUGGAUGGGGAUGGUGAUGGAGACUUUGGUGGUUCACACAACGAAGAAGCAGAUGUCCCUUCCAGUGAUGUAGGGUUGACCUUGGACCUGGUGCCAGUAAGGAUGGUCUUCACAGAAGCGGUAAGACCCUCCUUCCUUGAUAUAGGAAUCCUUCGACUUCACCUUCUCUUCAAUGGUAAGGUCCCUUGCACCAUAGGGACACUUGACCUCCAACACAGCUGUGGUGCCCACCCAGAAUCCCAGACCCCGUGAACCAAAGCCCUGACUCCUGCACAUCCAUCCCUGUAGCCAUUUUAAAGGCCUUGAUGCCUUCCUCUUUGUUACCUGUACCCCACUUUACAGACACCCAUCCAACGACUGUGAUCUGAGGACCCUUUUUAGCAGUGAUGGAGUAACACGCUUGGCCCUAACCACUGCUCCAUAAUUGCUGGCUGUCAACCUCCAUCUUCUCAUGGUGUGUCAGUUGGGGUUGGUGCACUGUCGAACUGUUGCCUGCCAUAUAGCUUUCGGCUGCUCCACCACCAGCGCCAUGCCAACCAGGAUGCCGGCUUGCCCAAGGUGCCUUUGUUUUUUAAAAACAAUUUCCAGUACAGACAGGGAUGACAGGGAGGGUAGCAGUUGUUCUGGCUCAGGUUCAAGGAGACAUGCCUUUCCACUGAACCUGCCCCAGAGACGGUUCCUUAGCUACUGAAGAUCCUCCUCUGUGGGCUCUCAGGACAGAGGGUUGUAGUCUUCGGCCAGAUACAGGUCCUCCACUGACUGCACCUGGUUGGGCACGGCUGGCUUCCUCCACUCGCAUUCCACAUCCGUACGGCCGAUAUUGUGACCCGCCAAAAUAGGCUGCAUGGCUACCUGUAUGAGCUCCACGGAGGCAUAGAGAGAAUCACCUGGUCACCUAUAGAGACCUGCCAGGAGGGAAGAUGUUAAGUGCCACAUGCCUUUCAAUACAUGAAUUUGAACACCUUGAAAUACAUUUGUUGUAAGAAAUGUGCUGUAUAAAUAAAGUUUGAUUUGAAUGAUGACAUUAUAGCUGUAGAAUAUUUAAUAUACUGUAAUUUUCACGAGGACCGGUGCCGUUUUUUCCCCUUCUUUUCAACUUUGAAUUGACAACAUUCUGGAACUGUUAUCAUUCAUCUAAGUCUGGUAUCUGGGGUAAUCUGGUUAAUGAUUAUAUAAAUUAUUAAGUGUCUAUUUCUUUGUAGAAUGUUGACAGCUGUAUAGAACACAUUGUAUUGCUAAGAUUCUCAAACUUGAUAGCUACACUCCGACACAGGAUAAACUUUAUCUCUCAUAUUGGCCCUGACUAAACCGAUAAGUUGCCCCUCACUAUAGCUGCACUUCUCCACAUAUCAAGGCUCAGGAGAAGACCCAGAUGCAGACAGUUUCGAAGUAACAAAAGUUUAUAACAAA